ACUACAUGAGUAUUUACGUACAAUUGACUUCCAAUCAAUAAGAUUAGACUAUUAAAUGUAGUA
This 63-nucleotide transfer RNA is filed under the name Tropostreptus hamatus. RNAcentral describes it as "tRNA-Gly". Lineage: Eukaryota; Metazoa; Arthropoda; Diplopoda; Spirostreptida; Spirostreptidae. The record is from RNAcentral.